This 452-nucleotide ribosomal RNA is filed under the name uncultured bacterium. RNAcentral's name for it is "bacterial SSU rRNA". It matches the Rfam family "Bacterial small subunit ribosomal RNA", at positions 29 to 526 of the family's 1533-position model. The record is from RNAcentral.
AACGAACGCUGGCGGCAUGCCUAACACAUGCAAGUCGAACGAACCCUUCGGGGUUAGUGGCGCACGGGUGCGUAACGCGUGGGAAUCUGCCCUUAGGUACGGAAUAACUCUCCGAAAGGGGUGCUAAUACCGUAUGAAGUCUUCGGACCAAAGAUUUAUCGCCUAGGGAUGAGCCCGCGUUGGAUUAGCUAGUUGGUGGGGUAAAGGCCUACCAAGGCGACGAUCCAUAGCUGGUCUGAGAGGAUGAUCAGCCACACUGGGACUGAGACACGGCCCAGACUCCUACGGGAGGCAGCAGUGGGGAAUAUUGGACAAUGGGCGCAAGCCUGAUCCAGCAAUGCCGCGUGAGUGAUGAAGGCCUUAGGGUUGUAAAGCUCUUUUACCCGGGAAGAUAAUGACUGUACCGGGAGAAUAAGCCCCGGCUAACUCCGUGCCAGCCGCCGCAGUAAAAU